Non-coding RNA from Podarcis lilfordi (Lilford's wall lizard), 77 nucleotides. The record is from the annotation of a GenBank genome assembly. NCBI's taxonomy places the organism in Eukaryota, Metazoa, Chordata, Lepidosauria, Squamata, Lacertidae.
GGAGGUGGGGUGUAGCUCAGUGGCAGAGCAUCUGAUUUAAAUUAAGAAGCCCCCAGGUUGAACCCCCAGGAUCUCCA